GCACCUCAGGAAAAUACAUUUAUCUGUUUUAUGAUGGUAUCAUGGUUGUGAAUAGUUUUCCAACCUUUUUUGUUCCAACUAAGUUUGGUGCUUCUUGACUAUUAAGGCGUUUGCCAGCCGAGAGAAAGGCUUAAAAACGCACAGAACACAAGAAUGCAUUGGUUAACAGUGUUACCUAAAACUAGCACCUCAGGAAAGUACAUUUAUCCUUUUCAUGAUGGUAUCAUGGUUUGUGAAUAGUUUUCAAACCUUUUUUGUUCAAACUAAGUUUUGGUGCUUUCUUGACUAUUAAGGCGUUUUCAGGCCGAGAGACGGCUUAAAAACGCACAGAACACAAGAAUGCAUUGGUUAGCAGUGUUUUCCUAAAUCUAGCACCUCAGGAAAGUACAUUUAGCCUUUUCAUGAUGGUAUCAUGGUUUGUGAAUAGUUUUCCAACCUUUUUUGUUCAAACUAAGAUUUGUGGUGCAUUCUUGACUAUUAAGGCGUUUGCAGGCCGAGAGAAAGCUGA
Molecule: long non-coding RNA, 508 nt
Organism: Gasterosteus aculeatus aculeatus (three-spined stickleback)
Lineage: Eukaryota; Metazoa; Chordata; Actinopteri; Perciformes; Gasterosteidae
Source: Ensembl